This 254-nucleotide ribosomal RNA is filed under the name uncultured bacterium. RNAcentral's name for it is "partial 16S ribosomal RNA". It matches the Rfam family "Bacterial small subunit ribosomal RNA", at positions 524 to 776 of the family's 1533-position model. The record is from RNAcentral.
UACGUAGGGGCCUAGCGUUGUCCGGAUUUAUUGGGCGUAAAGAGCUCGUAGGCGGUUCGGUAAGUCAGGUGUGAAAUCUCCACGCUCAACGUGGAGGCGCCACCUGAAACUGCCGUGACUCGAGUCCGGAAGAGGCGAGUGGAAUUCCUGGUGUAGCGGUGAAAUGCGCAGAUAUCAGGAGGAACACCAAUGGCGAAGGCAGCUCGCUGGGACGUGACUGACGCUGAGACGCGAAAGCGUGGGGAGCAAACAGG